GACGAACGCUGGCGGCGCGCUUAACACAUGCAAGUCGAACGGAAAGGCCUGCUUUCCCUUGUGGAUUGCGGGUACUCGAGUGGCGAACGGGUGAGUAACACGUGAGUGAUCUGCCCCCAACUUGGGUAUAAGCCUGGGAAACUGGGUCUAAUUCCCGAUAGGACUGCAGGGUGGUGCCUGUGGUGGAAAACGAUUUUCUAGUGGUUGGGGAUGAGCUCGCGGCCUAUCAGCUUGUUGGUGGGGUAAUGGCCUACCAAGGCGGCGACGGGUAGCCGGCCUGGGAGGGUGGACGGGCACAUUGGGACUGAGAUACGGCCCAGACUCCUACGGGAGGCAGCAGUGGGGAAUAUUGCACGAUGGGCGGAAGCCUGAUGCAGCGACGCCGCGUGGGGGAUGACGGCCUUCGGGUUGUAAACUCCUUUCGACCGCGAGGAAGCCACCUGGUUGGAAGGGUGGUGACGGUAGUGGUAGAAGAAGCACCGGCUAACUACGUG
This 494-nucleotide ribosomal RNA is filed under the name uncultured bacterium. RNAcentral's name for it is "partial 16S ribosomal RNA". It matches the Rfam family "Bacterial small subunit ribosomal RNA", at positions 28 to 507 of the family's 1533-position model. The record is from RNAcentral.